RNAcentral lists this small RNA (72 nucleotides) under Pseudomonas siliginis. RNAcentral describes it as "sRNA P10". It matches the Rfam family "Pseudomonas sRNA P10". The record is from RNAcentral. Lineage: Bacteria; Pseudomonadati; Pseudomonadota; Gammaproteobacteria; Pseudomonadales; Pseudomonadaceae.
ACUGGGCGACAAACACGUCUGCCCAAUGCCCGGUCACGGGACUACCCCUAUCGCUUCCGCAUCCGGUGACGU